AACCUUCUGUAUCCGUGCUGAGAUUUCGUCACACACCAGAUAUUAAGGGCUGAUGAGACUUCCAAGACAAGUGAAGCG
This 78-nucleotide microRNA precursor is filed under the name Schistosoma margrebowiei. RNAcentral describes it as "mir-3492 microRNA precursor family". It matches the Rfam family "mir-3492 microRNA precursor family". Lineage: Eukaryota; Metazoa; Platyhelminthes; Trematoda; Strigeidida; Schistosomatidae. The record is from Rfam by way of RNAcentral.